Molecule: long non-coding RNA, 923 nt
Organism: Daphnia pulex (common water flea)
Lineage: Eukaryota; Metazoa; Arthropoda; Branchiopoda; Diplostraca; Daphniidae
Exons: 7
Source: RefSeq, a predicted model, not a curated record
ACGUCAGACUCUGUUGAAAUUGAAUCAAACAGUUUUCAGACUUUCAGUCUUUCCAAAUUCUAAAUUUAUCUAACUGAAAAAGAAACAGACAUCAAAAACAUUGAAAUGUUCAAGUAUAGUUAUCUGUGUGACUUGUUUGGUGAAAAACAUCCAGCCUUGACCAUAUGCCCUAAGGCAGAGUUAUUGGAGGACUCCCUUUCUGAUCAUGACUAUCCAGACUCAGAUAGUCCAUUUCUCACAAUUCCACGAAACAAGAAAUAAGAAUGGCCUAAUACAAUACAAUAUACAAUACAAUAUGUUAAUACUUUAGUGAAUAAUACAUAAUUCCGGUGAGCAGACGACGUCAGACUCUGUUGAAAUUGAAUCAAACAGUUUUCAGACUUUCAGUCUUUCCAAAUUCUAAAUUUAUCUAACUGAAAAAAAAACAGACAUCAAAAACAUUGAAAUGUUCAAGUAUAGUUAUCUGUGUGACUUGUUUGGUGAAAAACAUCCAGCCUUGACCAUAUGCCCUAAGGCAGAGUUAUUGGAGGACUCCCUUUCUGAUCAUGACUAUCCAGACUCAGAUAGUCCAUUUCUCACAAUUCCACGAAACAAGAAAUAAGAAUGGCCUAAUACAAUACAAUAUACAAUACAAUAUGUUAAUACUUUAGUGAAUAAUACAUAAUUCCGGUGAGCAGACGACGUCAGACUCUGUUGAAAUUGAAUCAAACAGUUUUCAGACUUUCAGUCUUUCCAAAUUCUAAAUUUAUCUAACUGAAAAAAAACAGACAUCAAAAACAUUGAAAUGUUCAAGUAUAGUUAUCUGUGUGACUUGUUUGGUGAAAAACAUCCAGCCUUGACCAUAUGCCCUAAGGCAGAGUUAUUGGAGGACUCCCUUUCUGAUCAUGACUAUCCAGACUCAGAUAGUCCAUUUCUCACAAUUC